Molecule: transfer RNA, 78 nt
Filed under: Myxococcales bacterium
Lineage: Bacteria; Pseudomonadati; Myxococcota; Myxococcia; Myxococcales
Description: tRNA-Leu
Rfam family: tRNA
About the family: Transfer RNA (tRNA) molecules are approximately 80 nucleotides in length.
Source: RNAcentral
GCCCACGUAGCCCAACUCGGCAGAGGCGCCGGACUAAGGAUCCGGAUGUUGGAGGUUCGAAUCCUCCCGUGGGUACCA